RNAcentral lists this ribosomal RNA (442 nucleotides) under uncultured Acholeplasma sp. RNAcentral's name for it is "bacterial SSU rRNA". It matches the Rfam family "Bacterial small subunit ribosomal RNA", at positions 933 to 1382 of the family's 1533-position model. Lineage: Bacteria; Bacillati; Mycoplasmatota; Mollicutes; Acholeplasmatales; Acholeplasmataceae. The record is from RNAcentral.
UGGAUCAUGUUGUUUAAUUCGAUGAUACGCGAAGAACCUUACCAGGUCUUGACAUCCCCUGCAAAGCUAUGGAGACAUAGUGGAGGUUAUCAGGGAGACAGGUGGUGCAUGGUUGUCGUCAGCUCGUGUCGUGAGAUGUUGGGUUAAGUCCCGCAACGAGCGCAACCCUUAUUGCUAGUUACCAUCAUUGAGUUGGGGACUCUAGCGAGACUGCCAGUGAUAAACUGGAGGAAGUGGGGAUGACGUCAAAUCAUCAUGCCCCUUAUGACCUGGGCUACAAACGUGAUACAAUGGCUGAAACAAAGGGCAGCGAAGCAGUGAUGUGGAGCGAAACCCAAAAAGCAGUCUCAGUUCGGAUUGAAGUCUGCAACUCGACUUCAUGAAGUCGGAAUCGCUAGUAAUCGCGGAUCAGAACGCCGCGGUGAAUACGUUCUCGGGGUUU